GGCGAAAUUGGUAGACGCACCAGGUUUAGGUCCUGACGUCCGCAAGGAUGUGGGGGUUCGAGUCCCCCC
RNAcentral lists this transfer RNA (69 nucleotides) under Hydrogenophaga sp. RNAcentral's name for it is "tRNA-Leu". Lineage: Bacteria; Pseudomonadati; Pseudomonadota; Betaproteobacteria; Burkholderiales; Comamonadaceae. The record is from RNAcentral.